AGCAGCCGCGGUAAUUCCAGCUCCAAUAGCGUAUAUUAAAGUUGUUGCAGUUAAAAAGCUCGUAGUUGAAUUUCGGGAUCAAUUUAUCGGUCGUGCCAAUGGUAUGAACUGGUACAAUUGGUUUCUCCCUUCUGACGAAGCAUGAUGUCAUUAAUUUGGUGUCGUGGGGAAUCAGGACUGUUACUUUGAAAAAUUAGAGUGUUUAAAGCAAGCAUUAGCUUGAAUACAUUAGCAUGGAAUAAUGAAAUAGGACGUUUGAUCCUAUUUCGUUGGUUUCUAGGAUCGACGUAAUGAUUAAUAGGGAUAGUUGGGGGCAUUAGUAUUCAAUUGUCAGAGGU
This 338-nucleotide ribosomal RNA is filed under the name uncultured Glomus. Its description in RNAcentral is "SSU rRNA". It matches the Rfam family "Eukaryotic small subunit ribosomal RNA", at positions 569 to 912 of the family's 1831-position model. The record is from RNAcentral. Lineage: Eukaryota; Fungi; Glomeromycota; Glomeromycetes; Glomerales; Glomeraceae.